This 253-nucleotide ribosomal RNA is filed under the name uncultured microorganism. RNAcentral's name for it is "partial 16S ribosomal RNA". It matches the Rfam family "Bacterial small subunit ribosomal RNA", at positions 524 to 776 of the family's 1533-position model. The record is from RNAcentral.
UACGUAGGUGGCAAGCGUUGUUCGGAUUCACUGGGCGUAAAGGGUCCGUAGGCGGCCGUGUGUGUCGGGUGUGAAAUCCCUGGGCUCAACCUAGGAAUUGCGCUUGUGACUGGCGGGCUCGAGUACGGUAGAGGGGGGUGGAAUUCCUGGUGUAGCAGUGAAAUGCGUAGAGAUCAGGAGGAACACCGAUGGCGAAGGCAGCCCCCUGGGCCUGUACUGACGCUCAUGCACGAAAGCGUGGGGAGCAAACAGG